CCUACGGGUGGCAGCAGUGGGGAAUUUUGCGCAAUGCUCGUAAGAGUGACCCAGCGACGCCGCGUGAAUGACGACGGCCUUCGGGUCGUCAAGUUCUUUCUGCAGGGGAGAAAAUGCCUAUAAGUACCUGGGUAUGUAUUUACGGUACCUGUAUAAGCAGCCCCGGCUCACUCCGUCCCCGCCGCCGCUGUAGUACGGAGGGGGCGAGCGUUGUUCGGAUUGACUGGGCGUAAAGAGUACGUAGGAGGUGUUGUAAGUCAUUAGUGAAAGAUUAGAGCUCAACUGUAGUAAGGACAGUGAUACUAGAAUACUAGAGUAUAAGAGAGGAUUGCGGAAUUCCUGGUGUAGCGGUGAAAUGCGUAGAGAUCA
RNAcentral lists this ribosomal RNA (369 nucleotides) under uncultured bacterium. Its description in RNAcentral is "partial 16S ribosomal RNA". It matches the Rfam family "Bacterial small subunit ribosomal RNA", at positions 338 to 699 of the family's 1533-position model. The record is from RNAcentral.